This 468-nucleotide ribosomal RNA is filed under the name uncultured bacterium. RNAcentral describes it as "partial 16S ribosomal RNA". It matches the Rfam family "Bacterial small subunit ribosomal RNA", at positions 38 to 507 of the family's 1533-position model. The record is from RNAcentral.
GGGGGGGGGGGGGGGGGGGGGGGGGGGGGGGGGGGCGGGGGGAGGGGCCCUGCGGGUGUGGGGUGCUCGGGGGGCGAGCGGGUGAGUGACGCGUGAGUAACCUGCCCUUGACUUUGGGAUAACUUCAGGAAACUGGGGCUCAUACCGGAUAGGAGCUCCUGCUGCAGGGGGGGGGUUGGAAAGGUUCGGCGGUUGGGGAUGGACUCGCGGCUUAUCAGCUUGUUGGUGGGGUAGUGGCUUACCAAGGCUUUGACGGGUAGCCGGCCUGAGAGGGUGACCGGCCACAUUGGGACUGAGAUACGGCCCAGACUCCUACGGGAGGCAGCAGUGGGGAAUAUUGCACAAUGGGCGGAAGCCUGAUGCAGCAACGCCGCGUGCGGGAUGACGGCCUUCGGGUUGUAAACCGCUUUCGCCUGUGACGAAGCGUGAGUGACGGUAAUGGGUAAAGAAGCACCGGCUAACUACGUG